Molecule: non-coding RNA, 4191 nt
Organism: Dermacentor albipictus
Lineage: Eukaryota; Metazoa; Arthropoda; Arachnida; Ixodida; Ixodidae
Source: RefSeq, a predicted model, not a curated record
UCAACUUUAACAGGUCUUCUGUUAUGGACUUGAUAACAGCAGCAUACUGAGGAAUGCAUUCACCAAGUCCAUGGGCGCGCUGAUGAGGGUGCCAAGGUGAGGGCAUGUGCAGUCAAAGGCAUGAAAAAGCCUGCUGCUGGACAACGCUUUCCGAGGGCAAGCUGGCCAAGCUCUGUGCGGUCUCCAACUGUCAGCUCCGGGCUGUUCGGGAAAGCACCACCAAAGGCUUGUUGCACAGCAGCCUGGUGCUUACAGAAAGCACCCUGGUUCCCUGCCCUGCAGCUGCAUAGCCCAAUGUCCGCCCAUACCUCAUAUGUCCCAGUUCCAGAAGAAUUCGGAACAUGGCAAGUUGGAUUGUGAGGUACAUGAACGGCGUGUUACUUUUGACAAGUUUAGUUGCAAACAACUGCAAUAAAGAAGCGCUAAUAGAUUGACCCCCAGCCACAAAAUAUUGCAUGGCAUGAAACCACAUGGCAAAAUAGGCUUCUGCACCUUAUAGCGGUGCACACUUGUUAUCGACACUAAUAUUUCUGCAUGUGCAUCCUUCCACAACUGCAAACGUGACUAUUUGGUGCUUUUGCUAUGUGUGCUCGCACUAUGUCAGUUUGAGUGGGAGAUGUCACUUAUCUGUUUGUAUUCUUGCAAGUUGGGUGGCUUAAGGAGUAAAACGAAGUUUGCGCUGUUCACGGGGUUUACACUCCAUCACUAAUGUGACAGCGCAUAUCAUGUGUGUUCGGUAACAAGUGCGCAGCGGUUCUUCUUUCUUAAUUUCACUUCUUUGUUGCCAAGCUCCACUUGUUCUUAUUUUUGUCUGUGUAUGUGUGUUUUCACAUCUUUGAACAUGCUAGAGGAUUCGCAGUGGAAAAGAAAGACUUACCAAAUCUUGUUGCAGUUUGCAAACACACUGUGCAUACACAUUGUUUAAUACUACUGCCUAGUCGCGUGACCCAUCAUAAGACUUGGUGUUCCAUUGGCCCAUGGUGCAUUUCUGUGCAUCAUUCGUUUGUCUAAUGCUACACGGCAUAGCACUUCACAAUGUGCAAAGUACUACACACAUUUCAAGGUGCAUGUCACUUGAAGCAGGAAUCCAUGUUACAUAGGCAUCGUAGGGCAGCUGUUGGAUAAAAGUUCUGUCCCCAAAAUUUUGGUAAUGUGAACAGUUCUCAGAAGUUCCGAUAAUUGUCUCAUUGUUUGCUGUAGCUGCAUAAUGUUCAGUGUGCCAUAUUUAAUAAACCAUGUUCAAUGAGCAAACUAAGGCCUCCUGACAUCCAAGCAUUCCGAGCCAAUGUACACCUACCAGUCUAAGAUAAAAUUAGAGCACAAAAAAUAUUUAAGCUGACCAAAACAAUUUGACUUCAUAGAUACAUAACUUCAGUAGUUCAUAGUUUCAUGCCAGAGGUUUUGAUGACACUGCAUCAAGUCUUCUUAAAUAUCUUAAAUUUCUUGCUACUGAAAGGGCCCCUGAAACAGUUUGGAGAAAUAUUGUAGACGCAUAGGGUUCAGCUACAGUAGAUUAUUCACAUCACAAUUCGUAGGAAGCGCCGCAUGUUAAGAUAGCUAGGGACGAGUACAAGUUACCCUCCUCCAUAGUGAUGCAUUUUCCCCUCAACUUGUUCACCGAGUGAUCGGGGCUAAGCUCCGCCUUCACUGGCUCUGCGUCAUGAUGACAGGUCAUGUCAUCUACUUCCAUUUGUCUAGGAGCGAGCGCUCAAAGCCUCUCCAACCUCUCCGCCAGCUGCUUGGCAGUCGAUCCCACGGUGUGAGCGAGAGCUAGCGAAGCAGCGUGCGCUGCGAGCAUUCUGUCGCAGCGCUGAACGUGUCUGGUAUUUCGGUAACCGCAAGCGAGCUGAGCGUUUCAAAGGAUGGGUGGAGGCAUAAACUCAAGCUAAUGAAAAAGCUUUGGCAUAGAUGUGAGUGGCCUGAUUGGUCUGCAUGGUCCAGCCACCUGGUGGUACAGAGCUUAACCACCCGAAGAGCUAAUAUUGCUCUAACCAAGUGUAAGACGUUUUAAAAAUUUACAAAAACUAUGUGUCCACGAUUAUGCUCCUGAGAAAAAUUUACACCAGCAUCAAAGUAUAAUAGACUUCGCUACAGCUACUGUCCUUGGUUGAGCUUUUGCAACCAGGUGGCUUCACCGUGCAGACUAUUCACAUUUGCACUUAUGCUCAUCCUGUAAAACGGCACAGUCAAAUGGCCUGGUCUAGUCUGCUUGCGCUUGCAUUUACCCAAAUAAUGGACAUGCGAAACACUAUUGUGGUAAUAAUUCUCAGGUGUAAAGUGACGGCCACAAACGCACAAAAUGGCAUCGAUCAGAUAGCAACAGUCUAUGCGCUGUAGCCACUCCGCUUGUCUGCUUCCUUGCAUAGGGACACAAGGUUGCAGUUAGACGUAUUGCCAGUUGCUAGGUUUGCGGCCCACAACGUGACAAGGGUGAACCAUGGUGCUUGUGAAAGUAAAGAUCGAGAUCAACACUGACUGUGGGGCUCUUGUUUACACGGAACACGUAACAAAAGCAAACACUUGCUUUGUGCCACAAGUGCUUAAGUGUAGUGAGAAAUUGUCCUGGUGCAUUCUCGUUGUGUUACUUUCUUUUUAUAGAAAAAAAUUAAUAACAUUCCAAUUAUUACGAACAUUUGUUCACCAUAAAGUUAGAAAAAUUAUAGAUGAUGCGCUCAAGGUAGCCUAUGGGAUAACUCACCAUACUGCCAUCAUUAGGAAAACUUGCGUCAAAUAGUCAGGGGUGGCUGAAAAUUCAGCCGAGUGACAUGGUGUGAUUGGUAGCAAUGUACGUUUUUAAAACCUUAUAAUAAAGUACAGGCUUUACGCGGAGCACUUAGAUAUGUCAAUUAACGAUCAGAAAGAUCUACCCUAACAACUCAGUACGUUUGCACAAAAUCGUCAAAAUCAUUUCAGGGUUUUUUACUAGUAUCUAAGUAUACGCAACAAAAGUAUUAAUUAUCUGAAACAUUGCUCUACCUUCUGGAAAGCUGCCAUGAGCUGACGUCUUUCUGCUUUCCCUAUGCUGUUCUGUGCUGAUUUGAGCCAGAUUCCGGCUCAGUUUUGAUUCCGGCUCAGUUUUGAACUAAACGGUGGUAAACAUUUGUACCACACACCACUGCUACCCGCACGCUGGAUGUGAUAGCCAUUUGCUAUCGCCACCGCAGGAAAAAAGCUGGGCGCAACGCGAUGAGCAGCUAUCGUUUUGGAAAGAUUAAGGUAGGCUCCCACCAUAUCUGCGCAGAAGCAGUUUAGUCUUUUAAAAAGCGCGGAACGCGAAAAAUAAAACAAUAAACGGCAUUACAGGUGAUUGGAGCGCGAGAACGUUACGGUUUCGGUUUCGGCGCAAAAAACGCCAAAUGCCACUUGCCCUCUCCACGCUCAUGUUGCCGUUACGACGUUCGGAUGUUUAACAUGAUGUGGCCGCUACGUUAGUUACGUGAAUGCCAUAAGCAAGGCUUUUGCAGUAGCUUAGUACAGCACGAACAUUUAUAGAUCUAAUCUGAAAUUGUUGGUAGAGCACACGGUUUACAAACUUUAAUAGGGUUUUCACUUCCCGUUACUUUCGAUUCCUGUCACCAGGGGCCUCUCUGUGAAGUGUUUCAAACAUGGCGUCCCCCAGUAGCAUCAGCACUCUGCGCGACUCGCAUGACAAUUCACCGUGGUUUUUGUUCCAGGAAAGGCUAGACCACCUGUCCAGUCAGCUUGUUCGGCGAGUGGCUGGGUACGUAGCUGGCUGAAAAUGCUGCCUGUGCACAUAGUUGAGAGCACAAGCAAGGCAGCAGUACAUGCAUUAUAAAUUAUUAAGAUAUAAGGUUACAGACUUGCAAAUCGCUGAUCACCUUGGUUCAAUUAGUAAUUACAUUUGGUACUAGUGUGAACCUGAACGAAUUUUGCAGCCAAGUCUGACAAAUUAAAAAAAUUUUAAAGGUGAAAUCUUCAACAUGCACUUACAUUAGUCUAUUUUUUCUCCUCUCUGAGCAACAUGCUAGUGUGAGCCUUUCAACUAUAAUACUAUUAGUGGUUGCUUCUCACUGGUGUUGAGCAAUUUUGUUUUUGGUGUGGAAGACUAAGCCUUUUUCUUUUGGUUGCAUUGUGUAUUGCAGUUUUUACCAAGUCACCCAAGAAGUAGAGUAAUUACUGUUUAAGAAUAGACAUACUGAGAUGCAUAUAUACAUCGUUGAAUGUAAUUUC